Molecule: ribosomal RNA, 274 nt
Filed under: uncultured bacterium
Lineage: Bacteria
Description: partial 16S ribosomal RNA
Rfam family: Bacterial small subunit ribosomal RNA
Source: RNAcentral
AUACGUAGGUGGCAAGCGUUGUUCGGAAUUACUGGGCGUAAAGCGCGCGUAGGCGGAUUGGUCAGUUGGGGGUGAAAUCCCGAGGCUUAACCUCGGAACUGCCUUCAAAACUGCCAGUCUUGAGUCCGGGAGAGGUGAGUGGAAUUCCUAGUGUAGAGGUGAAAUUCGUAGAUAUUAGGAAGAACACCAGUGGCGAAGGCGGCUCACUGGCCCGGUACUGACGCUGAGGCGCGAAAGCGUGGGGAGCAAACAGGAUUAGAAACCCCGGUAGUCC